This is a non-coding RNA of Bradyrhizobium sp. NAS80.1, 51 nucleotides long. The record is from Rfam. Lineage: Bacteria; Pseudomonadati; Pseudomonadota; Alphaproteobacteria; Hyphomicrobiales; Nitrobacteraceae.
UGGGGACGUAGCAGCCUCCCCGUCAAGUGGGUCUUCCCAUGCAAGGGCUGU